UUGAACGCUGGCGGCAUGCUUUACACAUGCAAGUCGAACGGUAGACCCUUUCGGGGGUUGAGAGUGGCGAACGGGUGAGUAAUGCAUCGGAACAUACCCAGUCGUGGGGGAUAACGUAGCGAAAGUUACGCUAAUACCGCAUGAGUCCUGAGGGAGAAAGCGGGGGACCUUCGGGCCUCGCGCGAUUGGAGCGGCUGAUGUCGGAUUAGCUGGUUGGUGGGGUAAAGGCCUACCAAGGCGACGAUCCGUAGCUGGUCUGAGAGGAUGAUCAGCCACACUGGGACUGAGACACGGCCCAGACUCCUACGGGAGGCAGCAGUGGGGAAUUUUGGACAAUGGGCGCAAGCCUGAUCCAGCCAUGCCGCGUGAGUGAAGAAGGCCUUCGGGUUGUAAAGCUCUUUCAGACGGAAAGAAAUCGGGCGGGUGAAUAGCCUGCCUGGAUGACGGUACUGUCAGAAGAAGCACCGGCUAACUACGU
Molecule: ribosomal RNA, 478 nt
Filed under: uncultured bacterium
Lineage: Bacteria
Description: bacterial SSU rRNA
Rfam family: Bacterial small subunit ribosomal RNA
Source: RNAcentral